AUUUGUUUGAAAAUCUUUAUGUGAUUGUUGCUUCAUUUUAAAAAUCAGACCUCACAAACCUGAGCCAAGUUAUGUGCAAAAUAAUAUGCCAGUUGCACAGCCCUGGAGGCCAGUGUGAGCCCUGCCUCCAUCUGCCUGCAUGUGGGGUCUCCCUAGAAGGAAGCCUUUGGUAGGUGGGUGGGAAGAUUAGGGUGCUCGAAUGGGUACUGUGAGGAGGUGCAGUGGCACCAGGCUCUAGCAGCCUCCUGCCUCCAGGAGAGGCCCAGGUUGGGAUCACUGCAGCGACCAACGCCUCGGAUCACUCGAGGGCUAGAAGGCACCCACCAGGUGUGUGGACAGGAGCGCUCAGGGGCCUUGCACAUUGGGCAUAUUAUGGCGUCAGUUUCGGAAUCAGCCUGCAUGGAGUCGGACCAGGACACCCAGCCAGGAUUCCGUCGUCGGGGAGGGGAACGCCCAUGUGGCUUGUGUGAAGGGUGCUUCAGGGGACGCAAAGGCUCUGGUGGCUGGGAGGAGCUGAGGGAUGACAGAUACCCCAAGGAUUCUGUGGAGCUGGUCGGGUUUGGUGAUAGGGUGCUCGCAGGUGGCCGGUGUGAAGGGUGCUUCAGGGGACACAGAGGCUCUGAUGCCUGGGAGGAGCUCAGGGAUGAUGGAGACCCAAGGGACUCUAUGGAGGUCUUCGGGACUGAUGACGGCAUGGAGGCCAGAGGAGCCGGGGGAGCCCGUGGGGAUUAGACCCUGGAGCCCCAGCAUCCCUGUCCAAGGCCACAGGGCCCCAGGAGUGAUAGCCAGAUGCCCGGUGGGCAGCGUUUUCUCAUUUAUAGAGUGCCUCCUGACACUCCCCAUCAUGGGGGUCACGACCACCUCCUGGGGAGAGAGGACAGGGUGGCCUCAGAGAGGGCUCAGCCAUGUUAAACAGCUGCCCACAUGGACCUGCAGCCCCUCCUGCAUGUCCAGGUGGUCACUGGUCCCCUCCCCCACACGGUCCCCUCCUGGGCAACACCUGCUUCCUGGACCCCAUGGCUUCAUCCCAUGGAGAGGGAUCCCGGGUUCCAAUUUCUCUCCUAGGAGGUUCCCUUCAGGCCUCUGAAAAUGAAUUCCUUGGAGACAAGCAGCAUGUUCCUAGGAUCAGGUGAAGCUGUCACCUCUGGGGGCUUCUGGGACCCUCAGAGCCUUACCUUUCAAAGUGAUAUAUUUAUUUCCGAUCCUGAGCCAUUCCCCCACUUCAGCUUGAUCCUGAGAGACAAGAAAGAGGGUGCAGGCCGGGUCUCAGUCUCCUGUCCCCACAGCUGCAGACCCAGUGCUCGUGAAUGACACACUUUCUCCGCCCAGCUCAUGGAGCCUGUGUGCUUCUCUUUCACUGGUUUCUAAAGUGCGUAAUAACCUUUUUCUGGUUUCCUUCUCUGGAAAGCAUGGAGGGGUUUUCUAUGUGAGGCCUGCCCUGGGUAUCCUCAGUCCCUGUUCCGCUGCUUGGGAAACACACACUCUUGGGUCUGCAGGUGCCUCUGAGCUGGCAGGGAGGAUUCUGCUUCCGAGGAGGCCAGGGGCGACUCCAGUCUCAGGUGGGAGGCUCUCAGGGGCUCAGCACAGCCCCCAGAGCACCUCACACAGAGGCUGGGCCCCGAGGCACCUGCCCAGGAAGGCGGCUGAUGAGCCCGGGCUCAGGGCCUGUCCUUCCACAGAGACCUCACCCCUCUCAUGACCGGGUCCUCGCCGCUGAGUCCUGGGGUUUGGUUUUGCUCUGACGCCUCCCGUGCACCUCCACAGAUGGUCUGGGGGCUUGGGUUGGAAAUCCUAUGCCCACUCCAACCCCUGCCUGCCCUGCUGUCCCUAGAGGGAUGAUGAGAGUUCCCAUCACAGGAGCGCCUCUGGUUGAUGUGGAAAAGUGGAAAAGAGAGCAGGAAAAAUAGAAGCAUUCUCUGCUGGGUGUGGGCUGAGGGCUCCUUACAUUCUCGCUGUCCUCCUCUCUGGGAGGCACUGAGGAUGGCUCCCUGGGAAUGUAGGGGCAUAAGAUGAUCAGGAUCACCAGGCUGAACACAAUGAAGAGGACGAAAUGGAUGAUCUGGGGAAUGGGGCUGGGGCACAGCUCUGUCUCAAUAACACUGUGCAGAGGAAAGAGAAUAUCCAUGUCAACUGCACUGCUGUCCUCAGGCAGCU
Molecule: long non-coding RNA, 2154 nt
Filed under: Homo sapiens (human)
Lineage: Eukaryota; Metazoa; Chordata; Mammalia; Primates; Hominidae
Description: non-protein coding lnc-HNRNPH1-2:1
Source: RNAcentral